RNAcentral lists this ribosomal RNA (349 nucleotides) under uncultured bacterium. Its description in RNAcentral is "bacterial SSU rRNA". It matches the Rfam family "Bacterial small subunit ribosomal RNA", at positions 354 to 699 of the family's 1533-position model. The record is from RNAcentral.
UGAGGGAAUAUUGGGUCAAUGGGCGGAAGCCUGAACCAGCCAUGCCGCGUGAAGGACUAAGGCCCUACGGGUCGUAAACUUCUUUAGACGCAGAGCAAUAAGGUCCACGCGUGGACCGAUGAGAGUAUGCGUAGAAUAAGCAUCGGCUAACUCCGUGCCAGCAGCCGCGGUAAUACGGGGGAUGCGAGCGUUAUCCGGAUUCAUUGGGUUUAAAGGGUGCGUAGGCGGCCGAGUAAGUCAGCGGUGAAAGACCGGGGCUCAACCCUGGAAGUGCCGUUGAUACUGGCGUGCUCGAGUGCGUGCGAGGAAGGCGGAAUGCGUUGUGUAGCGGUGAAAUGCAUAGAUAUGA